AGUUUGAUCAUGGCUCAGAUUGAACGCUGGCGGCAGGCCUAACACAUGCAAGUCGAGCGGUAGAGAGAAGCUUGCUUCUCUUGAGAGCGGCGGACGGGUGAGUAAUGCCUAGGAAUCUGCCUAGUGGUGGGGGAUAACGUUCGGAAACGGACGCUAAUACCGCAUACGUCCUACGGGAGAAAGCGGGGGAUCUUCGGACCUCGCGCCAUUAGAUGAGCCUAGGUCGGAUUAGCUAGUUGGUGAGGUAAUGGCUCACCAAGGCGACGAUCCGUAACUGGUCUGAGAGGAUGAUCAGUCACACUGGAACUGAGACACGGUCCAGACUCCUACGGGAGGCAGCAGUGGGGAAUAUUGGACAAUGGGCGAAAGCCUGACCCAGCCAUGCCGCGUGUGUGAAGAAGGUCUUCGGAUUGUAAAGCACUUUAAGUUGGGAGGAAGGGCAGUAACCUAAUACGUUAUUGUUUUGACGUUACCGACAGAAUAAGCACCGGCUAACUUCGUGCCAGCAGCCGCGGUAAUACGAAGGGUGCAAGCGUUAAUCGGAAUUACUGGGCGUAAAGCGCGCGUAGGUGGUUCAGUAAGUUGGAAGUGAAAUCCCCGGGCUCAACCUGGGAACUGCUUUCAAAACUGCUGAGCUAGAGUACGGUAGAGGGUGGUGGAAUUUCCUGUGUAGCGGUGAAAUGCGUAGAUAUAGGAAGGAACACCAGUGGCGAAAGCGACCACCUGGACUGAUACUGACACUGAGGUGCGAAAGCGUGGGGAGCAAACAGGAUUAGAUACCCUGGUAGUCCACGCCGUAAACGAUGUCAACUAGCCGUUGGGAGUCUUGAACUCUUAGUGGCGCAGCU
RNAcentral lists this ribosomal RNA (848 nucleotides) under uncultured bacterium. RNAcentral's name for it is "bacterial SSU rRNA". It matches the Rfam family "Bacterial small subunit ribosomal RNA", at positions 10 to 853 of the family's 1533-position model. The record is from RNAcentral.